Microcebus murinus (gray mouse lemur) is the source of this 852-nucleotide non-coding RNA. The record is from RefSeq and is a predicted model, not a curated record. NCBI's taxonomy places the organism in Eukaryota, Metazoa, Chordata, Mammalia, Primates, Cheirogaleidae.
GUGGCAGGUUCUCAGAACCUUCUCCUGUUCCUCUGGAACCUCCAGCUACAUCUGUACACGCAACCCUGCCUGUCUGGAUGACACAGUGGUUUCUUCUGGUUACCAAGGACAAGUUCUAAGAAUUUAAAUGAAUAAUAAAAACCCACAAAAUGAUAGCAUUUGAAUUGGAUGGGGACCAGGAAUCAUCCAUUCCAGAGAUUUCCCUACCAUGUUCAAUUGAAGUCCUUUUAAAAGUAAUUCUUCAGGACCUUCCAAGAGGAACAAGAUCACUGACCAUGCCAGACUGCUUCUACCAUUUUCAAUCUGUUUUAUACAAUGGGUCCUAUUCUAGUCCACACUCCUCUAUACAAUGGGUCCUAUUCUAGUCCACACUCCUCAAGAAGACCAGAAUUUGGGUCCAAGUGUUUUCCUUGAGAGGCAAACCCAGGAAGCACCACCAGGAGAACAAAGAGGAAUGGGGAAAAGAAGGAAAAGCAAUAAAAGCGUUAUUGAGAGGGUUACCAUUGUAGACAAAUGGGGCACCAUCUGGCUGGGACCUUCUGAAGAAAUUGCAAAACAUGCUUCACAAAUUGUCUCACUGCAGAAAAUCAUGCCAAUAACUCUCUACAAAGGAAACGAUUUCAGAUGAAUACAGGCAUAAGUUGACAUCACAAGGAGACAUUCUGGCUUUGCCACUAACCAAAAAGUGCAAAAGAACCUCCACAGCAAAGCCUGUGUGAUUACGGCUUCAGAAUCCUUUUUGUCAAUAAAGGUUGGAUUAGUUGCAAUAGCAGAUGUUAGAUGGGGGUACCAAGAAGAUUCCCAUCCUCCUAUUCUCCUGGAAACAUAAAAAAUCAUCUUUUGCAAGAGGUG